GUCAAUUGGACAGGCGGCCCAUG
RNAcentral lists this non-coding RNA (23 nucleotides) under Arabidopsis thaliana (thale cress). The record is from RNAcentral. Lineage: Eukaryota; Viridiplantae; Streptophyta; Magnoliopsida; Brassicales; Brassicaceae.